GGGCUGGGGCUCAGUGGUAGAGUGCUCGCCUAGGAUGCACGAAGCACUGGGUUUGAUCCUCAGCACCACA
Molecule: transfer RNA, 70 nt
Filed under: Marmota monax (woodchuck)
Lineage: Eukaryota; Metazoa; Chordata; Mammalia; Rodentia; Sciuridae
Description: tRNA.Pro
Source: RNAcentral